GUGUCGGUCCGGUGUGCAUGGAGCGGUCUUUUAAUCCGUCGGUUCUGGGUUCGAGUCCCAGGCGGCCCACCA
RNAcentral lists this transfer RNA (72 nucleotides) under Actinomadura sp. HBU206391. RNAcentral's name for it is "tRNA-Lys". Lineage: Bacteria; Bacillati; Actinomycetota; Actinomycetes; Streptosporangiales; Thermomonosporaceae. The record is from RNAcentral.